GACAGAGGGUGCAAACGUUGCUCGGAAUCACUGGGCGUAAAGGGCGUGUAGGCGGGAAGGAAAGUCGGGCGUGAAAUCCCACGGCUCAACCGUGGAAGUGCACCCGAAACUGCGUAGCUAGAGUCCUGGAGAGGAAGGUGGAAUGCUUGGUGUAGAGGUGAAAUUCGUAGAUAUCAAGCGGAACACCGGUGGCGAAGGCGGCCUUCUGGACAGUGACUGACGCUGAGACGGCGAAAGCGUGGGGAGCAAACAGGG
This 255-nucleotide ribosomal RNA is filed under the name uncultured bacterium. RNAcentral's name for it is "partial 16S ribosomal RNA". It matches the Rfam family "Bacterial small subunit ribosomal RNA", at positions 524 to 777 of the family's 1533-position model. The record is from RNAcentral.